This is a small nucleolar RNA of Acomys russatus (golden spiny mouse), 141 nucleotides long. RefSeq annotates it as small nucleolar RNA SNORA48. The transcript has a single exon. NCBI's taxonomy places the organism in Eukaryota, Metazoa, Chordata, Mammalia, Rodentia, Muridae. The record is from RefSeq and is a predicted model, not a curated record.
UGCCCCCCUGGCAGUGGGCAAAGAGAUAUCUUGGUGGUGUUGUUCUUAUAUCAGUUGGGCAGAGCAGAUGGCAGCCCUUUGUUCAUCCUAGCUUGAUGCCUAGCUUGGUGGCCAAAGCUGUUUUAUGCCUAGGACUCAUAA